AUCACACCCCAAGAGGUUAACAGCAGUGAUAAAAAUUGUCCAUAAGCGCCAGCUUGAAUCAGUUAAGAAAAAGAGGGCCGGCCAACCCGGUGCCAGCCGCCGCGGCUACACCGAGGGCUCAAGCUGAUAACAUUCGGCGUUAAGCGUGAUUAAAGGUAAUUAAAUUAGGAUUAAAUCUAGGCUUAACAGUAAAAAGUUUGCCGACAGAAACCCGUAAUCGAAAGUUAUCCUAAUAUCUCUUGAAUACACGAUAGCUUGGACACAAACUAAGAUUAGUAGAUACCCCACUAU
This 291-nucleotide ribosomal RNA is filed under the name Philautus sp. TBGRI2001.0091. Its description in RNAcentral is "partial 12S ribosomal RNA". Lineage: Eukaryota; Metazoa; Chordata; Amphibia; Anura; Rhacophoridae. The record is from RNAcentral.